Molecule: ribosomal RNA, 373 nt
Filed under: uncultured Bacteroidota bacterium
Lineage: Bacteria; Pseudomonadati; Bacteroidota
Description: bacterial SSU rRNA
Rfam family: Bacterial small subunit ribosomal RNA
Source: RNAcentral
UAAUACGGAGGGUGCAAGCGUUAUCCGGAUUUAUUGGGUUUAAAGGGUGCGCAGGCGGAAUAUUAAGUCAGUGGUGAAAUCCUACAGCUCAACUGUAGAACUGCCAUUGAUACUGAUAUUCUUGAGUAUAGUUGUAGUGGGCGGAAUAUGUCAUGUAGCGGUGAAAUGCUUAGAUAUGACAUAGAACACCGAUCGCGAAGGCAGCUCACUAAACUAUAACUGACGCUCAGGCACGAAAGCGUGGGGAGCAAACAGGAUUAGAUACCCUGGUAGUCCACGCCGUAAACGAUGAUAACUCGAUGUUGGCAAUACACCGUCAGCGUCCAAGCGAAAGCGUUAAGUUAUCCACCUGGGGAGUACGAUCGCAAGGUUG